GGGGCUUUAGCUCAGUGGUAGAGCGCCUGCUUCGCAUCCACCCCCUAAUGGAAGAAAAGUGAAAAGUAGGAGGCCCUGGGUUCAAACCCCAGAUGCUCCA
This is a non-coding RNA of Violaceomyces palustris, 100 nucleotides long. The record is from the annotation of a GenBank genome assembly. Lineage: Eukaryota; Fungi; Basidiomycota; Ustilaginomycetes; Violaceomycetales; Violaceomycetaceae.